GUCCACGCCGUAAACGAUGCUAACUCGUUUUUGGAUUUUCGGAUUCAGAGACCAAGCGAAAGUGAUAAGUUAGCCACCUGGGGAGUACGUCCGCAAGGAUGAAACUCAAAGGAAUUGACGGGGCCCGCACAAGCGGUGGAUUAUGUGGUUUAAUUCGAUGAUACGCGAGGAACCUUACCAAGACUUAAAUGGGAAAUGACAGGUUUAGAAAUAGACCCUUCUUCGGACAUUUUUCAAGGUGCUGCAUGGUUGUCGU
This 256-nucleotide ribosomal RNA is filed under the name uncultured bacterium. RNAcentral describes it as "partial 16S ribosomal RNA". It matches the Rfam family "Bacterial small subunit ribosomal RNA", at positions 793 to 1055 of the family's 1533-position model. The record is from RNAcentral.